UACGUAGGGUGCAAGCGUUGUCCGGAAUUAUUGGGCGUAAAGAGCUCGUAGGCGGUCUGUCGCGUCGGCUGUGAAAACCCGGGGCUCAACCCCGGGCCUGCAGUCGAUACGGGCAGACUAGAGGACGGUAGAGGCGUGUGGAAUUCCGGGUGUAGUGGUGAAAUGCGUAGAGAUCCGGAGGAACACCAGUGGCGAAGGCGACACGCUGGGCCGUACCUGACACUGAACCGCGACAGCAUGGGGAGCAAACAGG
This 253-nucleotide ribosomal RNA is filed under the name uncultured bacterium. RNAcentral's name for it is "partial 16S ribosomal RNA". It matches the Rfam family "Bacterial small subunit ribosomal RNA", at positions 524 to 776 of the family's 1533-position model. The record is from RNAcentral.